Molecule: transfer RNA, 74 nt
Filed under: Staphylococcus aureus
Lineage: Bacteria; Bacillati; Bacillota; Bacilli; Caryophanales; Staphylococcaceae
Description: tRNA-Pro(tgg)
Rfam family: tRNA
About the family: Transfer RNA (tRNA) molecules are approximately 80 nucleotides in length.
Source: RNAcentral
CGGGAAGUAGCUCAGCUUGGUAGACCCCUUGGUUUGGGACCAAGGGGUCGCAGGUUCGAAUCCUGUCUUCCCGA